This 471-nucleotide ribosomal RNA is filed under the name Clostridioides difficile. RNAcentral's name for it is "bacterial LSU rRNA". It matches the Rfam family "Bacterial large subunit ribosomal RNA", at positions 1189 to 1665 of the family's 2925-position model. Lineage: Bacteria; Bacillati; Bacillota; Clostridia; Peptostreptococcales; Peptostreptococcaceae. The record is from RNAcentral.
UACUACCGAAGCUACGGCAUCAGUAAUGAUGGGUAGGGGAGCUUCCCAUACGGGUUGAAGCAUGACCGUAAGGACAUGUGGACAGUAUGGGAGUGGGAAUGUUGGCAUGAGUAGCGAGAUGUGGGUGGGAAUCCCACAGGCCGUAAACCCAAGGUUUCCAGGGGAAGGUUCGUCCACCCUGGGUUAGUCGGGACCUAAGCUGAGGCCGAAAGGCGUAGGUGAUGGACAACAGGUUGAUAUUCCUGUACUACCGAUAACCGUUUGAGAGAAGGGAUGACACAGUAGGAUAAGCUAAGCACACUGUUGGUUAUGUGUGCCCAAGCAUUGAGGCAGUCAAAGUAGGCAAAUCCGCUUUGAUAAUGCUGGGAUGUGAUGGGGAGCGAAAUUUAGUAGCGAAGUAGCUGAUUUCACACUGUCAAGAAAAGUCUCUAUCGAGGUUAAAGGUACCCGUACCGCAAACCGACACAGGUG